This 1616-nucleotide ribosomal RNA is filed under the name Salmonella enterica. Its description in RNAcentral is "partial 23S ribosomal RNA". It matches the Rfam family "Bacterial large subunit ribosomal RNA", at positions 1166 to 2680 of the family's 2925-position model. Lineage: Bacteria; Pseudomonadati; Pseudomonadota; Gammaproteobacteria; Enterobacterales; Enterobacteriaceae. The record is from RNAcentral.
GAAGAUGUAACGGGGCUAAACCAUGCACCGAAGCUGCGGCAGCGAACGUAUCACCCAAGACAACUUUACGGAGUUGACGAUUGACGGAGCGAAGCGACGUCAAAGCGUUCAUUAAAGUCGAGUUGGCUUAGGGAUACGUUCGUUGGGUAGGGGAGCGUUCUGUAAGCCUGUGAAGGUGUGUCGUGAGGCAUGCUGGAGGUAUCAGAAGUGCGAAUGCUGACAUAAGUAACGAUAAAGCGGGUGAAAAGCCCGCUCGCCGGAAGACCAAGGGUUCCUGUCCAACGUUAAUCGGGGCAGGGUGAGUCGACCCCUAAGGCGAGGCCGAAAGGCGUAGUCGAUGGGAAACGGGUUAAUAUUCCCGUACUUGGUGUUACUGCGAAGGGGGGACGGAGAAGGCUAUGUUGGCCGGGCGACGGUUGUCCCGGUUUAAGCGUGUAGGUGUGUGUUCCAGGUAAAUCCGGUUCACUUUAACACUGAGGCGUGACGACGAGGCACUACGGUGCUGAAGCAACAAAUGCCCUGCUUCCAGGAAAAGCCUCUAAGCAUCAGGUAACACGAAAUCGUACCCCAAACCGACACAGGUGGUCAGGUAGAGAAUACCAAGGCGCUUGAGAGAACUCGGGUGAAGGAACUAGGCAAAAUGGUGCCGUAACUUCGGGAGAAGGCACGCUGACACGUAGGUGAAGUGAUUUACUCAUGGAGCUGAAGUCAGUCGAAGAUACCAGCUGGCUGCAACUGUUUAUUAAAAACACAGCACUGUGCAAACACGAAAGUGGACGUAUACGGUGUGACGCCUGCCCGGUGCCGGAAGGUUAAUUGAUGGGGUCAGCGUAAGCGAAGCUCCUGAUCGAAGCCCCGGUAAACGGCGGCCGUAACUAUAACGGUCCUAAGGUAGCGAAAUUCCUUGUCGGGUAAGUUCCGACCUGCACGAAUGGCGUAAUGAUGGCCAGGCUGUCUCCACCCGAGACUCAGUGAAAUUGAACUCGCUGUGAAGAUGCAGUGUACCCGCGGCAAGACGGAAAGACCCCGUGAACCUUUACUAUAGCUUGACACUGAACAUUGAGCCUUGAUGUGUAGGAUAGGUGGGAGGCUUUGAAGUGUGGACGCCAGUCUGCAUGGAGCCGACCUUGAAAUACCACCCUUUAAUGUUUGAUGUUCUAACGUGGACCCGUAAUCCGGGUUGCGGACAGUGUCUGGUGGGUAGUUUGACUGGGGCGGUCUCCUCCUAAAGAGUAACGGAGGAGCACGAAGGUUGGCUAAUCCUGGUCGGACAUCAGGAGGUUAGUGCAAUGGCAUAAGCCAGCUUGACUGCGAGCGUGACGGCGCGAGCAGGUGCGAAAGCAGGUCAUAGUGAUCCGGUGGUUCUGAAUGGAAGGGCCAUCGCUCAACGGAUAAAAGGUACUCCGGGGAUAACAGGCUGAUACCGCCCAAGAGUUCAUAUCGACGGCGGUGUUUGGCACCUCGAUGUCGGCUCAUCACAUCCUGGGGCUGAAGUAGGUCCCAAGGGUAUGGCUGUUCGCCAUUUAAAGUGGUACGCGAGCUGGGUUUAGAACGUCGUGAGACAGUUCGGUCCCUAUCUGCCGUGGGCGCUGGAGAACUGAGGGGGGCUGCUCCUA